RNAcentral lists this ribosomal RNA (477 nucleotides) under uncultured anaerobic ammonium-oxidizing bacterium. RNAcentral describes it as "bacterial SSU rRNA". It matches the Rfam family "Bacterial small subunit ribosomal RNA", at positions 365 to 832 of the family's 1533-position model. The record is from RNAcentral.
UUCGCAAUGCCCGAAAGGGUGACGAAGCGACGCCGCGUGUGGGAAGAAGGCCUUUGGGUUGUAAACCACUGUCGGGAGUUAAGAAAUGCAAGGGUGCUAAUAGUAUCCUUGCUUGACUAAGGCUCCGGAGGAAGCCACGGCUAACUCUGUGCCAGCAGCCGCGGUAAUACAGAGGCGGCAAGCGUUGUUCGGAAUUAUUGGGCGUAAAGAGCACGUAGGCGGCUAUGUAAGUCGGUUGUGAAAGCCUUCCGCUCAACGGAAGAACAGCAUCCGAUACUGCAUGGCUUGAGUGCGGGAGGGGAGAGUGGAACUUCUGGUGGAGCGGUGAAAUGCGUAGAUAUCAGAAGGAACGCCGGCGGCGAAAGCGGCUCUCUGGCCCAUAACUGACGCUGAGUGUGCGAAAGCUAGGGGAGCAAACGGGAUUAGAUACCCCGGUAGUCCUAGCCGUAAACGAUGGGCACUAAGUAGAGGGGUUUU